UCUUUUAAAAAUAUAUUAAAAUUAUAAAUUUUAAAAUAUGUAUAUGCUGUUAUAUUUUGCAUAGAUAGGACCAGAAAAGGGUGUUAUUCAUCUAGCUACUGCAGCUAUAGUGAAUGCUAUAUGGGAUUUAUGGGCUAAAAUAGAGGAGAAACCAUUAUGGAAAUUAUUAGUUGAUAUGGAACCAGAAAAACUUGUCUCUACAAUUGAUUUCAGAUACAUAACAGAUGUUAUAACCAAAGAAGAAGCUAUAGCUAUGUUAAAAGCUCAGUAUGAUUCUAGAAAACAAAGAG
This is a long non-coding RNA of Centruroides sculpturatus (bark scorpion), 290 nucleotides long. RefSeq lists it as uncharacterized. Lineage: Eukaryota; Metazoa; Arthropoda; Arachnida; Scorpiones; Buthidae. The record is from RefSeq and is a predicted model, not a curated record. The transcript has 4 exons.